GAUGAACGCUGGCGGCGUGCCUAAUACAUGCAAGUCGAGCGAACGGACGAGAAGCUUGCUUCUCUGAUGUUAGCGGCGGACGGGUGAGUAACACGUGGAUAACCUACCUAUAAGACUGAGAUAACUUCGGGAAACCGGAGCUAAUACCGGAUAAUAUUUUGAACCGCAUGGUUCAAAAGUAAAAGACGGUCUUGCUGUCACUUAUAGAUGGAUCCGCGCUGCAUUAGCUAGUUGGUAAGGUAACGGCUUACCAAGGCAACGAUGCAUAGCCGACCUGAGAGGGUGAUCGGCCACACUGGAACUGAGACACGGUCCAGACUCCUACGGGAGGCAGCAGUAGGGAAUCUUCCGCAAUGGGCGAAAGCCUGACGGAGCAACGCCGCGUGAGUGAUGAAGGUCUUCGGAUCGUAAAACUCUGUUAUUAGGGAAGAACAUAUGUGUAAGUAACUGUGCACAUCUUGACGGUACCUAAUCAGAAAGCCACGGCUAACUACGUG
This 497-nucleotide ribosomal RNA is filed under the name uncultured bacterium. RNAcentral's name for it is "partial 16S ribosomal RNA". It matches the Rfam family "Bacterial small subunit ribosomal RNA", at positions 28 to 507 of the family's 1533-position model. The record is from RNAcentral.